UACGAAGGGGGCUAGCGUUGCUCGGAAUCACUGGGCGUAAAGGGCGCGUAGGCGGAUCUUUAAGUCGGGGGUGAAAGCCCAGGGCUCAACCCUGGAAUUGCCUUCGAUACUGGAGAUCUUGAGACCGGAAGAGGUAAGUGGAACUGCGAGUGUAGAGGUGAAAUUCGUAGAUAUUCGCAAGAACACCAGUGGCGAAGGCGGCUUGCUGGGCAUGAUCUGACGCUGAGGCGCGAAAGCGUGGGGAGCAAACAGG
Molecule: ribosomal RNA, 253 nt
Filed under: uncultured bacterium
Lineage: Bacteria
Description: partial 16S ribosomal RNA
Rfam family: Bacterial small subunit ribosomal RNA
Source: RNAcentral